GUGGGGAAUCUUGCACAAUGGGCGAAAGCCUGAUGCAGCCAUGCCGCGUGAAUGAUGAAGGCCUUAGGGUUGUAAAAUUCUUUCGUCAGGGAUGAUAAUGACCGUACCUGAAGAAGAAGCCCCGGCUAACUUCGUGCCAGCAGCCGCGGUAAUACGAAGGGGGCUAGCGUUGUUCGGAAUUACUGGGCGUAAAGCGCACGUAGGCGGACUUUUAAGUCAGGUGUGAAAUCCCGGGGCUCAACCUCGGAACUGCAUUUGAAACUGGAAGUCUUGAGAUCAGGAGAGGUUAGCGGAAUACCGAGUGUAGAGGUGAAAUUCGUAGAUAUUCGGUGGAACACCAGUGGCGAAGGCGGCUAACUGGACUGAUACUGACGCUGAGGUGCGAAAGUGUGGGGAGCAAACAGGAUUAGAAACCCGAGUAGUCC
This 425-nucleotide ribosomal RNA is filed under the name uncultured bacterium. RNAcentral's name for it is "partial 16S ribosomal RNA". It matches the Rfam family "Bacterial small subunit ribosomal RNA", at positions 354 to 796 of the family's 1533-position model. The record is from RNAcentral.